Molecule: long non-coding RNA, 2065 nt
Filed under: Salmo salar (Atlantic salmon)
Lineage: Eukaryota; Metazoa; Chordata; Actinopteri; Salmoniformes; Salmonidae
Description: lncRNA (ENSSSAG00000082761.1)
Source: RNAcentral
AUUAACAUCAAGAGAGACUGCAUCCUGAAAUGCCUGUCUGUCUACCUCAAAGAGGACGAGAAGUUUGUCAAGUAGUACUUGAACUGCGACAUGGCUGAGUCUGAGAAGGAGAUAGCGUAGACUGUCAUGGGGAUUUACGUCAUCCGAGGAAGAUCCAGAUGACGUCAGAAUUGUGAUUGAGGGUGUGAGGUUCUCAUCGACCUGGGAAGCGGAGCCUUAGGAUGUGCCAUGUUGUUUGGUUGAUCUAUGCACUCAACCUGAGCUACACACAGCACCUCAAAUGCACUUUGAUGUGUUCCAGAAGAUUCUAAUUAACUUGGAUGGAAACAAGCUUUCACCAAACAUCCAACCACUCAAGACCAACAUUUUUCAGUGAUCAACUAAAAGGAGAAAGUGACAGUUUGCAGUCAACUGACAGAGUUUGCCCUUGUCUUUAGGGCAAAUGUCUGAACAGAGAUGUUUAUUUAACCAUUAUUUCACUCUUUUAUGGCAGCUUUGGAGCAGUGGCUUCUUCCUUGCUGAGCAGCCUUUCAGGUUAGGUCGACAUAGGACUUGUUUUACUGUGGAUAUAGAUACUUUUGUACCUGUUUCCUCCAGCAUCUUUUUUUACCUUUAUUUAACUAGGCAAGUCAGUUAAGAACAAAUUGUUAUUUUCAAUGAUGGCCUAGGAACAGUGGGUUAACUGCCUUGUUCAGUGGCAGAACGACAGAUUUGUACCUUGUCAGCUCGGUGAUUCGAUCUUGCCACCUUUCAACUACUAGUCAAACGCUUGAACCACUAGGCUAUGCUGCCACCCCAAGGUCCUUCGCUGUUGUUCUGGGAUUGAUUUCCACUUUUCACACCAAAGUGCCUUCAUCUCUAGGAGACAGAACAUGUCUCCUUCCUGAGCGGUAUGACGGCUGCGUGGUCCCAUGGUGUUUAUACUUGCAUACUAUUGUUUGUACAGAUGAACGUGGUACCUUCAGGCGUUUAGAAAUUCCUCCCAAGGAUGAACCAGACUUGUGGAGGUCUACAAUUAUUUUUCUGAGGUCUUGGCUGAUUUCUUUUGAUUUUCCCAUGAUGUCAAGCAAAGAGGCACUGAGUUUGAAGGUAGGCCUUGAAAUACAUCCACAGGUUCACCUCCAAUUGACUCAAAUUAUAUCAAUUAGCCUAUCAGAAGCUUCUAAAGCCAUGACAUUGUUUUCUGGAAUUUUCCAAGCUGUUUAGAGGCACAGUCAACUUAGUGUAUGUAAACUUCUGACCCAUUGGAAUUGUGAUACAUUGAAUUAUAAGUGAAAUAAUCUGUCUGUAAACAAUUGUUGGAAAAAUGACUUGUGUCAUGCACAUAGUAGAUGUCCUAACCGACUUGCCAAAACUAUAAUUUGUUAACAAGAAAAUUGUGGAGUGGGUGAAAAAAUGAGUUUUAAUGACUCCAACCUAAGUGUAUGUAAACUUCCGACUUCAACUGUAGGUAAGGAUAAAGUGACUAGAUAGUGGGAUAGAUAAUAAACAGUAACAGCAGCGUAUGUUAAGAGUCAAAAGAGAUUAGUGCAAAAAGGGUCAAUGCAGAUGUUUCGGGUAGCUAUUGGUUAACUAUUUAACUUACUAUUUAGCAGUCAUAGCUUGGGGGUAGAAGCUGUUCAGGGACCUGUUGAUUGCAGACUUGGUGCAUCGGUACAGCUAGCCGUGCGGUAGCAGAGGGAACAGCCUAUGACAUUGGUGGCUGGAGAAUUAGACAAUCUUUAGGGCCUUCCUCUGACACCGCCUGGAAUAGUCUUGGAUGGCAGGGAGCUCGGCCAUAAUUAUUUUAUGUUCAUUACAGCUCAUUCAGAAGAACCAGUUGAUAUUCUAUUUAGAUUUUGUUGUUUUACAAUUUCAGAACACCAUUGUGUCUUGGCACAGUGCAAUCUUCAAGUUUGUUAUUUGGUUUACUUGAUAUACUUUCUGUCUUAAAGGUUGGUAAUUGAGAAAAAACACUGUCUUUUAAACAUUGCACAGCUUUGUUCACUUGUAAAGUAUUUCAUGUACAGUGGCUUGCGAAAGUAUUCACCCCCUUGGCAUUUUUCCUAUUUUGUUGCCUUACAAC